Molecule: ribosomal RNA, 189 nt
Filed under: Triticum aestivum (bread wheat)
Lineage: Eukaryota; Viridiplantae; Streptophyta; Magnoliopsida; Poales; Poaceae
Description: partial small subunit ribosomal RNA
Source: RNAcentral
AUGGCGGCGCGCUCCAUCACCUUCGCCGCCGGCGAGCUCCUUCUCCGUCAGGAUGCGCUACGUUUGGUUCUUCUCGAUGAUCGCGGCAGCACGGUGGACGCCCGAUCCCUACGCAUCGACGAGAUGAUCGACAUCAGGUACAUCGUUCCCUUCCCUUGUCAUUUUGCUAGGGUUUGGGAUCGUCUUCCU